GCCCGGAUGGCGGAAUGGCAGACGCAACGGACUUAAAAUCCGUUGUCCGCAAGGACGUGCGGGUUCGAUCCCCGCUCCGGGUACCA
This 86-nucleotide transfer RNA is filed under the name bioreactor metagenome. Its description in RNAcentral is "tRNA-Leu". It matches the Rfam family "tRNA". Rfam says of the family: Transfer RNA (tRNA) molecules are approximately 80 nucleotides in length. Their secondary structure includes four short double-helical elements and three loops (D, anti-codon, and T loops). Further hydrogen bonds mediate the characteristic L-shaped molecular structure. tRNAs have two regions of fundamental functional importance: the anti-codon, which is responsible for specific mRNA codon recognition, and the 3' end, to which the tRNAs corresponding amino acid is attached (by aminoacyl-tRNA synthetases). tRNAs cope with the degeneracy of the genetic code in two manners: having more than one tRNA (with a specific anti-codon) for a particular amino acid; and 'wobble' base-pairing, i.e. permitting non-standard base-pairing at the 3rd anti-codon position. The record is from RNAcentral.